This 484-nucleotide ribosomal RNA is filed under the name uncultured bacterium. RNAcentral describes it as "partial 16S ribosomal RNA". It matches the Rfam family "Bacterial small subunit ribosomal RNA", at positions 30 to 507 of the family's 1533-position model. The record is from RNAcentral.
AUUGAACGCUGGCGGCAGGCCUAACACAUGCAAGUCGAGCGGAUGAAGGGAGCUUGCUCCUGGAUUCAGCGGCGGACGGGUGAGUAAUGCCUAGGAAUCUGCCUGGUAGUGGGGGAUAACGUCCGGAAACGGGCGCUAAUACCGCAUACGUCCUGAUGGAGAAAGUGGGGGAUCUUCGGACCUCACGCUAUCAGAUGAGCCUAGGUCGGAUUAGCUAGUUGGUGGGGUAAAGGGCUACCAAGGCGACGAUCCGUAACUGGUCUGAGAGGAUGAUCAGUCACCCGGGAACGGAGACACGGUCCAGAGUCCUACGGGAGGCAGCAGUGGGGAAUAUUGGACAAUGGGCGAAAGCCUGAUCCAGCCAGGCCGCGUGUGUGAAGAAGGUCUUCGGAUUGGAAAGCAGGUUAAGUUGGGAGGAAGGGCAGUAAGUUAAUACCUUGCUGUUUUGACGUUACCAACAGAAUAAGCACCGGCUAACUUCGUG